This 282-nucleotide ribosomal RNA is filed under the name uncultured bacterium. Its description in RNAcentral is "partial 16S ribosomal RNA". It matches the Rfam family "Bacterial small subunit ribosomal RNA", at positions 29 to 334 of the family's 1533-position model. The record is from RNAcentral.
AACGAACGCUGGCGGCGAGUGCCUAACACAUGCAAGUCGAACGAGACCUUCGGGUCGUAGUGGCGCGACGGGUGCGUAACGCGUGGGAAUCUGCCCUUGGGUUCGGAAUAACUCGCCGAAAGGCGUGCUAAUACCGGAUGAUGUCGUAAGACCAAAGAUUUAUCGCCCAGGGAUGAGCCCGCGUAAGAUUAGGUAGUUGGUGAGGUAAAGGCUCACCAAGCCGACGAUCUUUAGCUGGUCUGAGAGGAUGAUCAGCCACACUGGGACUGAGACACGGCCCAG